This is a long non-coding RNA of Sardina pilchardus (European sardine), 1450 nucleotides long. RefSeq lists it as uncharacterized. The transcript is spliced from 4 exons. NCBI's taxonomy places the organism in Eukaryota, Metazoa, Chordata, Actinopteri, Clupeiformes, Clupeidae. The record is from RefSeq and is a predicted model, not a curated record.
CUGAAAUCACAGUAUUUAAUUGGUUUUCAUUUCACAGUGAAUACAUAAAAUACUGUAAAUGGAAAUGCGGUACCUCUACUGUAAACUACAAUUACAGUAGUAAGUGUUACCUUAGAAAUUACAGUAGUCAAAACACUACUGUAAACAAAUCACAAUAUAGCCACUAGUAGCCUAGGCUACUGUAAAUAGUUAAGUAAACUAGCCUACUGUGUUUUCCCUUUUUUAAUCUUAUAUUUCUUUUAACUCAUAAUGACAUACCAGAGACGGUUGAGAAAGUCAAUUUGAUGUCAAGAAUUAAGGCUUUGAUCACACUAUUGAGCAAGCAUAACACAUUUCAGCCUAAUAAUUUUCCACGAUUGUUUUUAACGGCUGCUUAUCGCCUCUUGAUAAGCGCAUGCGCACACGCAGUAAUUCCCAUCCCCCACCCCUGACUUUUCAACUCCAGCCAGAGUGACUUCACUUCAACCGUCACUUUUCAAUCAUGAAUCUGACUGCAAUUUUCAACUCUGUACAAACAUCAUAUUCAAGUAGGUGGUGUGAGGACUGCUGCCCUGAGAACGCUGUGUCAGAGACACUUAGGCUGUGUGCAUUUUGGAAUGUUCCAAAUGUGUGUCACUUCCAUAAGGAAGAAGUUCCAAGCCUGCAAGUGAGUUCACUCACCAAAUAGAGACACACGCAUAUAGCAUUUAAUAUGUGUGCAUGUACUGUAUUUGUGUCUGUAACUGUUUAGUUUAUCCCCUCCUUUCAUGUGUCUGUUAUGACUUUGUGGGCUCAACUGCCAACAACUGUCCAGGGCGAAGUCGGUCUACCCUGAUGGCACUACCUGAUGGCACUACCCUGAUGAUGUCUGUUAGCCAUGGCUGCUGCCCUCAACAUGGUGAGCCAUCCAGAAGUCCCAGCCUGGAGCCAGAGGCUGCUAUUGCAAGUCAGAUGGGAGAUGGCCUACAGUAUGUUAGGCAUCAGAAAAGUGGUGUUCGCAUGAAGGCAGAGUUGCCGCAGGCAAUUAUGAGAUUAGACACUUGACAUUUACUGCGAAAGGUACCAUCAGAGCACCUCUCCCUACCCUGCAGGAUACCUAUACCAGAAGAGUACAACAACGGCCCAAAAGUAUUUCAAAAGACAUUUCACGCUCUGACCACGGACUGUUUAAACCACUGAGGUCAAGCAGACGUCUCUGUUCCCACGUGGCAGACUGAGGGAACACCCACAAAACAGACUGGGGAUGAGUUUCUUUACUCCGCAUCCUGUACACACACAACUCCUUAUACUACAUUACAUAGACUUGCCAGUUGCCAUACUGCACUUACACACACUGCGCUUUUAACCCCCUUAUCUGUGUCAAAUCAGAUAAGGUUGUGGUUGUGUUCAAACCAUGUCUACUGUUGUCUGUCAACAUCCACUUCAGUCAUACAUUUGAAAUGUCUUAAAUAAAUAACAAAAGUUAAAAUUG